AUUUGGUUUGGCAUAAUAUAUACUAAAAUUAGAACAGUAUAGAGAGGAUUAGCAUGCCCCCUCUGCAAGGAUGGCAUGCAAAUUCGUGGAGCAUUCCAUACUUUU
Small nuclear RNA from Otolemur garnettii (small-eared galago), 105 nucleotides. NCBI's taxonomy places the organism in Eukaryota, Metazoa, Chordata, Mammalia, Primates, Galagidae. The record is from Ensembl.